CCAUUCUGAGUCGCCAAAUACAUGGUACAUAAAGCAAACUACAACUUCAAUAAUACAAAUGUCGUGUGAAAUACGACAAUACAUACUGUGAGUUUAAAUACAAAUAUUGUCUUCUAGACAAUAUCCACACGCAAAUAAGUCCUCAUUACAAUUAUUCAAAUACUAUUUUAUAGAAAUAGAGAGGACUGCUAAAACAUCUUCCUAGAACCAUCACUCCAUACCCCGACUCGAUCCUGCUAUGUUCUCACCUCCUGAG
Molecule: long non-coding RNA, 256 nt
Filed under: Panax ginseng (ginseng)
Lineage: Eukaryota; Viridiplantae; Streptophyta; Magnoliopsida; Apiales; Araliaceae
Description: long non-coding RNA (PGIN_LNC017595)
Source: RNAcentral